UCCUAGUAACGGCGAGUGAACGGAGAUUAGCCCAUCACCGAAGUCCGGUGCUUUUGCAUACAGGACAAUGUGGUGUUUAAGCUGGUACCUGGGACUGCGAGUCUACCCGAAGUCCAACUUCGAUUGUGGCUUUAUUAUUUUCCCAUGGCGGGUGAUAGGCCCGUACGGGUAGGCUUAUUUUAUGUUUUGCAGUUCUCAGAUGUGCUUGCUUUCGAGUCGGAUUGCUUGAGAAUGCAGUCCAAAGUGGGUGGUAAACUCCAUCCAAGGCUAAAUACUGGCACGAGUCCGAUAGUAGACAAGUACCGUGAGGGAAAGUUGAAAAGUACUCUGAAGAGAGAGUAAAUAGUACGUGAAGCCGGUUGCAGAGAAGCUGGUGGAGUCAAGCUUCAUGCUUGAGAGAUUUGUGUCUGUAACAUUGUGUUAUGUGAUAGUGAGGCUGAUCAACUUGGAAUUAGUUGGGCACAUUCGUGUGUUUCAAGUCAUUCUGGGCUGUGUGUUUGUGUUGGCUUCAUGAUUCUGUUAUAGGCACUCUAUCUCUUGCUGCAUAAAUCACGGUCGAUAGCUGUGUUUUGUAUAUAUAUAUGCUGUAUGGUUGUCUAACUGUACUUUGAUAAGCAUCAUUGUUUGUCGGGUGCAGGAUGGCAGGUAGAUUCUAUGAGCUUUGUGUUCAUAGUAUCUUAUAGUGGUUUAUACCAGCUGAUGGCCAUGCUAGUAUUAUAGCUAUCGUUGUUUUAUAAUACAUUGUCUAUAUGGCAUUGUAUUA
This 763-nucleotide ribosomal RNA is filed under the name Euryhaliotrema sp. 1 YS-2008. RNAcentral describes it as "eukaryotic LSU rRNA". It matches the Rfam family "Eukaryotic large subunit ribosomal RNA", at positions 78 to 634 of the family's 3401-position model. Lineage: Eukaryota; Metazoa; Platyhelminthes; Monogenea; Dactylogyridea; Ancyrocephalidae. The record is from RNAcentral.